RNAcentral lists this ribosomal RNA (261 nucleotides) under uncultured bacterium. Its description in RNAcentral is "partial 16S ribosomal RNA". It matches the Rfam family "Bacterial small subunit ribosomal RNA", at positions 28 to 269 of the family's 1533-position model. The record is from RNAcentral.
GAUGAACGCUAGCGACAGGCUUAACACAUGCAAGUCGAGGGGCAGUCGGGGAGUCAGCUUGCUGACUUUUGCCGGUCGACCGGCGCACGGGUGAGUAACACGUAUGCAACCUGCCCGCCACGAGGGGGAUAACCGGGAGAAAUCCCGACUAAUACCGCGUAGACCGCGAGGGGGCAUCCCGACGCGGGGAAAGGACUUAGGAUCCGGUGGACGGAUGGGGCAUGCGGCGCCAUUAGCUAGUUGGCGGGGCAACGGCCCACC